AUGGGGUCGGCCGACACGUCCGCCAAUACUCGGCGGAUUGACCCCGCCGCCGACCUUCGGGAGGCGACGGAGCGAAACGCGCGGGAGAAGCACGAUGAGGAGGAGGCCGACCAUCUGGAGAAGGCGGAGGCCGAGAAGGCAGCGGCCUCCGCCCAGAAGAAGCUGGAGGAGGCCGAAGCCACUGUCGCAGCAAGACAGCGGGCUGAGGAGACCGCGCACCGCCAAUCGGCGUUGCUUGUCAUCCUGCUAAACUCCGCGCCGCCGCCCCGGAGUUCACGGGGCAGACUAGAGAAGUCGGCGGGGAGCACCCCAUCGUGGAGAAGGAUGGUAGCGAGGCCUCCGCGUCGGGCACGGCCACGCCGCCACCACCGCCUCCACCGUCGUCUGGGAGCGCGCAUGGCAAGCAGCCGGCAGGCCUGCUAG
Molecule: ribosomal RNA, 423 nt
Filed under: Triticum aestivum (bread wheat)
Lineage: Eukaryota; Viridiplantae; Streptophyta; Magnoliopsida; Poales; Poaceae
Description: partial small subunit ribosomal RNA
Source: RNAcentral